AUUGAACGCUGGCGGUAUGCUUAACACAUGCAAGUCGAACGGCAGCACGGGGCAACCUGGUGGCGAGUGGCGAACGGGUGAGUAAUACAUCGGAACGUGCCCAAUCGUGGGGGGAUAACGUAGCGAAAGUUACGCUAAUACCGCAUACGAUCUACGGAUGAAAGCGGGGGAUCGCAAGACCUCGCGCGAAUGGAGCGGCCGAUGUCAGAUUAGGUAGUUGGUGGGGUAAAAGGCUCACCAAGCCAACGAUCUGUAGCUGGUCUGAGAGGACGACCAGCCACACUGGAACUGAGACACGGUCCAGACUCCUACGGGAGGCAGCAGUGGGGAAUUUUGGACAAUGGGCGCAAGCCUGAUCCAGCCAUUCCGCGUGCAGGAUGAAGGCC
Molecule: ribosomal RNA, 386 nt
Filed under: uncultured bacterium
Lineage: Bacteria
Description: bacterial SSU rRNA
Rfam family: Bacterial small subunit ribosomal RNA
Source: RNAcentral